Molecule: long non-coding RNA, 630 nt
Filed under: Setaria viridis
Lineage: Eukaryota; Viridiplantae; Streptophyta; Magnoliopsida; Poales; Poaceae
Description: long non-coding RNA (SVIR_LNC011356)
Source: RNAcentral
UAUAUAUACACACAACACUUAACGCCACUUGCAACUUAGAUUUCGUUGUGUUACUUUCUUCUGAAUAAAAACACUUAGCUUGAUUUAUGCUGGAAAUCAUUUCCUUUUAACUUGAUCGAGCAGUUUCCCAAGCUUAUGGCAAUUGAUUUCUUUUGUUAUUGGUGUGUUUCAUCUUUCAAGGUGUGUGUGUGGGUGUCGGGGGAGGGUUAGGGACUAUUUGUGAGUCUUUGAUCUUCUCAAAUUUCUAGAGUCAGGUUGAGCAAGAUGCCUUACUGCUGACAUAUGUAGAUGUACAGCAGUGUAAAUUCUAACGUAUGCGGUAAUAUAUAGUUACGAGUAAUCAAAUGUUUUUUCCUCUUAAAGGUCUUCCUCGAUUUUCUUUGCUGCAUUUCUGCCUUGAUUUUUUUUUCAAAGUUAGUCCCCAUCUGCAAUCUCUAUUUUAUUUUCUCCGAAAGUCUCUGAUUCUUUUAACCCUUCUUCUCAUCUUUAAUAUGAGCUGUUACCACUGGCCAGCUAGCUAAAGCGUUUUUGAUGAAUGAUGAACCAUCGAUUAGAGGUCCUAAUCCAUUCCCGAUCAUCCACCGUUAUUGGUAGCGUCCUAGUAUCUCUACGCACUAACCAUUUUAAUAC